UGGGGAAUAUUGGACAAUGGGCGAAAGCCUGAUCCAGCCAUGCCGCGUGUGUGAAGAAGGUCUUCGGAUUGUAAAGCACUUUAAGUUGGGAGGAAGGGCAGUAAGCGAAUACCUUGCUGUUUUGACGUUACCGACAGAAUAAGCACCGGCUAACUCUGUGCCAGCAGCCGCGGUAAUACAGAGGAUGCAAGCGUUAAUCGGAAUUACUGGGCGUAAAGCGCGCGUAGGUGGUUCGUUAAGUUGAAUGUGAAAGCCCCGGGCUCAACCUGGGAACUGCAUCCAAAACUGGCGAGCUAGAGUAGGGCAGAGGGUGGUGGAAUUUCCUGUGUAGCGGGGAAAUGCGUAGAUAUAGGAAGGAACACCAGUGGCGAAGGCGACCACCUGGGCUCAUACUGACACUGAGGUGCGAAAGCGUGGGGAGCAAACAGG
This 429-nucleotide ribosomal RNA is filed under the name Pseudomonadota bacterium. RNAcentral describes it as "Proteobacteria bacterium partial 16S ribosomal RNA". It matches the Rfam family "Bacterial small subunit ribosomal RNA", at positions 355 to 776 of the family's 1533-position model. The record is from RNAcentral. Lineage: Bacteria; Pseudomonadati; Pseudomonadota.